RNAcentral lists this ribosomal RNA (254 nucleotides) under uncultured prokaryote. RNAcentral describes it as "partial 16S ribosomal RNA". It matches the Rfam family "Bacterial small subunit ribosomal RNA", at positions 525 to 777 of the family's 1533-position model. The record is from RNAcentral.
ACGUAGGACGCAAGCGUUAUCCGGAGUUACUGGGCGUAAAGGGCAGGCAGGCGGGCUGAUAAGUCGGAUGUGAAAUCUCCCUGGCUUAACCGGGAGGGUGCAUUUGAGACUGUCAGCCUGGAGGGCAGCAGAGGAGCGUGGAAUUCCGGGUGGAGUGGUGAAAUGCGUAGAGAUCCGGAGGAACACCAGAGGCGAAAGCGGCGCUCUGGGCUGCACCUGACGCUGAGGCGCGAAAGCUAGGGGAGCAAACGGGA